RNAcentral lists this ribosomal RNA (506 nucleotides) under uncultured bacterium. RNAcentral describes it as "partial 16S ribosomal RNA". It matches the Rfam family "Bacterial small subunit ribosomal RNA", at positions 29 to 523 of the family's 1533-position model. The record is from RNAcentral.
AGUGAACGCUGGCGGUAGGCCUAACACAUGCAAGUCGAACGGCAGCACAGGAGAGCUUGCUCUCUGGGUGGCGAGUGGCGGACGGGUGAGGAAUACAUCGGAAUCUACUUUUUCGUGGGGGAUAACGUAGGGAAACUUACGCUAAUACCGCAUACGACCUACGGGUGAAAGCAGGGGACCUUCGGGCCUUGCGCGAUUGAAUGAGCCGAUGUCGGAUUAGCUAGUUGGCGGGGUAAAGGCCCACCAAGGCAACGAUCCGUAGCUGGUCUGAGAGGAUGAUCAGCCACACUGGAACUGAGACACGGUCCAGACUCCUACGGGAGGCAGCAGUGGGGGAUAUUGGACAAUGGGCGCAAGCCUGAUCCAGCCAUACCGCGUGGGUGAAGAAGGCCUUCGGGUUGUAAAGCCCUUUUGUUGGGAAAGAAAUCCAGCUGGCUAAUACCCGGUUGGGAUGACGGUACCCAAAGAAUAAGCACCGGCUAACUUCGUGCCAGCCGCCGCAGUAA